RNAcentral lists this long non-coding RNA (417 nucleotides) under Elaeis guineensis (African oil palm). RNAcentral describes it as "long non-coding RNA (EGUI_LNC022115)". The record is from RNAcentral. Lineage: Eukaryota; Viridiplantae; Streptophyta; Magnoliopsida; Arecales; Arecaceae.
GGGAAGCAAAAUAAGUACACAAAGGCCGCAGCGAACUUGGUAACGUAUGUUUCAGUUAUUAAUUGGGUAACGUUUCUUCUCAAGCCAGCGGAUGCCAUUCCCUUUGUGGACCUCAGAAGGUGAGAUGUUUGAGUUCUUUAGGGAAAGAGGAAAAGGACUCACAACGCAUUGAAGGGGAUGCACAGUCCACGUGAUAGAGUGAAAUCAUACACCAUAAGAAGUAGGGAAGUUAUAGAGGUCUAUAUAAGGUGGUGGAUGCUAUCUAGCUAUAGUAUCAACAAAUGCUCACUGAGGUGAAGUGAUUUAGGUGUGGAGAGGUGGUGUUUGAUGGGAUUAUGUGAGGGACAGCAUGGGGAUUGAGAAAUGUGGUGAUUAGAUCAAGGAGUGCAUGUCCACAACUUGUCAUGAUAAAAAAAA